GGAAUCUUCCACAAUGGGCGCAAGCCUGAUGGAGCAACGCCGCGUGAGUGAUGAAGGCCUUCGGGUUGUAAAACUCUGUCUUCUGUGACGAACAAGCCUGUGAGUGGAAAACUCAGGCCCUGACGGUAACAGAGGAGGAAGCCACGGCUAACUACGUGCCAGCAGCCGCGGUAAUACGUAGGUGGCAAGCGUUGUCCGGAAUCACUGGGCGUAAAGCGCGCGCAGGCGGCGAUCUACGUCUGGGGUGAAAGCCCGGAGCUCAACUCCGGGACUGCCUUGGAUACGGGAUCGCUUGAGGAUUGGAGAGGCAAGGGGAAUUCCACGUGUAGCGGUGAAAUGCGUAGAUAUGUGGAGGAACACCUGUGGCGAAGGCGCCUUGCUGGCCAAUUUCUGACGCUGAGGCGCGAAAGCGUGGGGAGCAAACA
Molecule: ribosomal RNA, 425 nt
Filed under: uncultured Tumebacillus sp.
Lineage: Bacteria; Bacillati; Bacillota; Bacilli; Caryophanales; Alicyclobacillaceae
Description: bacterial SSU rRNA
Rfam family: Bacterial small subunit ribosomal RNA
Source: RNAcentral